Molecule: non-coding RNA, 776 nt
Organism: Manis javanica (Malayan pangolin)
Lineage: Eukaryota; Metazoa; Chordata; Mammalia; Pholidota; Manidae
Source: RefSeq, a predicted model, not a curated record
AAAGCACCCAAAGGCUUGCGAGAGGGAAUAAUGUGACCGGGAGGGGAAAGAAGCGGCUUGUGCCAAGAUGGUUAUAGCAACACUAUUCAUGCGGCUCAGAACUGGAGCCCUCCCAGGUGCCCAGCGAUGGGGAGCAGGGAAGCCAGCGGCCCAGAAGGCAGCUGCAUGGACCCCUGGGGUUAAACCAGAGGACAGGAGCUUGGCCCUCACCUGGCUGGGGAGAUGCAGGAAGGGGCAGCUGCUGCCCCGUCAGACAGUGGGGUUGUCCGUGGAGCAGGCUCCUCGCAGACCAGGGGCAUGCAGGCUGCUUGGCGCCCUCCUGAGCAAGACGCCCUGCUCUUCUAGAAAUCAGGGCCCUGCACCUUCACCAUGGAGCCACCCCUUCCAACAUGAGCUGCUCUGGGCAUGUUGGCUGCCCAGAUCCCAUGCGGAGGGGCCCUGAGGACAGCGGAGCAGCCACCCUCAUGAGGUACUGUCCACCACCCCGGGGUCAGGUUCCUCUCUGGCUGCUCUCUUGGAGGGAUCGUCUCUUCCAUGCCCCCAUCUGCCCCUCACCUGAGCCCACACAGAAACUUCUGGACCCAGCCUGGGGGUGGGGAGGCCUCGACCACCUGGUAGACCCCAACCCCAGUCCCUAGGGUGAUGGGCCAAUGGCCCCAUGACUGACGAGAAAAGUCUCAGCCUUCAAACCCAAGGGGCCUCCAGGGAAUCCAAGCUCACCUGGGGGUGUGCCUCUUUUUAAAUGUAAUUCCUUGAUUUGUGUUUUUAAAUCAAAA